This 498-nucleotide ribosomal RNA is filed under the name uncultured bacterium. RNAcentral's name for it is "partial 16S ribosomal RNA". It matches the Rfam family "Bacterial small subunit ribosomal RNA", at positions 30 to 523 of the family's 1533-position model. The record is from RNAcentral.
AUUGAACGCUGGCGGCACGCCUUACACAUGCAAGUCGAACGGUAACAGGUCUUCGGAUGCUGACGAGUGGCGAACGGGUGAGUAAUACAUCGGAACGUGCCUAGUAGUGGGGGAUAACUACUCGAAAGAGUGGCUAAUACCGCAUGAGAUCUACGGAUGAAAGCAGGGGAUCGCAAGACCUUGUGCUACUAGAGCGGCCGAUGGCAGAUUAGGUAGUUGGUGGGAUAAAAGCUUACCAAGCCGACGAUCUGUAGCUGGUCUGAGAGGACGAUCAGCCACACUGGGACUGAGACACGGCCCAGACUCCAGCGGGAGGCAGCAGUGGGGAAUUUUGGACAAUGGGCGAAAGCCUGAUCCAGCAAUGCCGCGUGCAGGAUGAAGGCCUUCGGGUUGUAAACUGCUUUUGUACGGAACGAAAAGCCCUGGGUUAAUACCCUGGGGUCAUGACGGUACCGUAAGAAUAAGCACCGGCUAACUACGUGCCAGCCGCCGCCGUAA